This 425-nucleotide ribosomal RNA is filed under the name uncultured bacterium. RNAcentral's name for it is "bacterial SSU rRNA". It matches the Rfam family "Bacterial small subunit ribosomal RNA", at positions 354 to 796 of the family's 1533-position model. The record is from RNAcentral.
GUUGGGAAUCUUGCGCAAUGGGGGCAACCCUGACGCAGCGACGCCGCGUGCGGGAUGACGGUCUUCGGAUUGUAAACCGCUUUUCCACGAGACGAUGAUGACGGUAUCGUGGGAAUCAGCCCCGGCUAACUCCGUGCCAGCAGCCGCGGUAAGACGGAGGGGGCAAGCGUUGUCCGGAAUUACUGGGCGUAAAGCGCGCGUAGGCGGUCGUCUACGGCGGUGGUGAAAGCUCCCGGCUCAACUGGGAGAGGCCCGCCGCAACGGGACGACUCGAGGGUGGUAGAGGCAGAUGGAAUUCCUGGUGUAGCGGUGAAAUGCGUAGAGAUCAGGAGGAACACCCAUGGCGAAGGCAGUCUGCUGGGCCAUGCCUGACGCUGAGGCGCGAAAGCCAGGGGAGCGAACGGGAUUAGAUACCCCAGUAGUCC